This is a long non-coding RNA of Gallus gallus (chicken), 1248 nucleotides long. The record is from Ensembl. Lineage: Eukaryota; Metazoa; Chordata; Aves; Galliformes; Phasianidae.
AGAAACGAGAGAACAGCGGCCCUGAGAGCACCAAGCUCAGGGCAGGAGGAGGGCAGGAGGCGCUCCAAUAGCAACGUGCAGCCCAGGACAGGCCCACGGAGGAGCAGGCCGUCCCCUGAGGCCGCGGGCACCGCACCGAGCAGAUCCCCGCGUGAAGCCACGGAGGGGCCGGCGGUGCAGCAGUGGAUGCGGCCUGAACGGUCCUUUCUCAGUGAGAAGCAGCAGCUGAAAGAGCAGCCGUGCUUUGAAAGAUGAGAACUGAAAAGAUAUCCUGAAUAAUGACUCCCAACUUGGUUUCAAGACUCUUGGUCCUCUGUCUCCCUUAUAUCCAGAAGAAGAUGAAGAUGGAAAGCUGAAGGAUCUGAUUGCCUCUCCUUGAUUCCGGAGCCUGUACCUGUGGAGUUCCCUGGGGUUAUUAAGACCAAAGUGUAGGACCCAGCACUUGGUGUUACUGAACUUCAUCCCAUUGACCUCAUCCCACCAAUCCAUCCUGUCCUGUCCAGAAUCCUCUGCAGGGUCCUUCCAUCCCCCAUGCAGAUCAACACUACCUCCCUGCUUUUUGUCACUUACUGAGGGUGCACUCAAUCCCCUCAUCCAGGUCAUCAGUAAUGAUAUUAAACAGGACUGACUCCAGGGAACACCACUCAUGAUCAGCCGGCAGCUGGAUUUAUCUCCAUUCACCACCACCCUCUGGGCCUGACACUCCAUCCCGUUCUUUAUACAGCAAAGAAUGUUCCUGUUCAACCCACUGGGUGACAGCUUCUCCAGGGGAAUACUGUGGGAGACAGUGUCAAAGGCUUUUCUGAAGUCUAGGUAGACUAUGUUAAUGGUGAUUACAUCAGCACUGUAUCCAUUUAUCCACACUUGCUACCAUUUCCCUUUAAAUGAAAUAUUUUGAAUUAUUUUAUAUGCAUUUAUAAUACACACUUGCUAUGCGAAGAGCUCCAUUAUUCAAAAUAACAACCUGGGGUAGGAUUGGCUAAUCACGUAUGAUAUACCACUGAAUAUUAUCAGUUGUUGAGAUAAGUCUCUCUUAUCCCAUUACAGAUGUACUGAGUCAGGCAGUGGCCUUUUCCAUGAAAUAAGAAAAUGUGUGCCUCAUCAGGUGGAGAAAAGGAUAAAUCAAAGAGAUGACAAGAAUGGAAGAGUGCUCAGUAGCCCUGUUCUGCCAUGGAGAAACCAUGCAAAUAAUUUUCUGUUGCCCUCCAAAUCUGUACUUCGGGUUUAUGACAAAUAUAAAGUAACUCA